Non-coding RNA from Nasonia vitripennis (jewel wasp), 73 nucleotides. Lineage: Eukaryota; Metazoa; Arthropoda; Insecta; Hymenoptera; Pteromalidae. The record is from Rfam.
GCGUGUUGGCAGUGUGGUUAGCUGGUUGUGUAGCUUAUAGAAAGCACGACCGCUAUCGACACUGCAAUUAUGA